CUCACGAGGCAACCCGAGGUGAAGCUCCGCCCACUUCCUCAAAAGACGAUAGUUGUUCUGUUUUUACAGCAGCCACAGAGAACAGAGAUGCCUGGAUUAAUUUUAUUUUUAUCUUUGAUGACAAUGUUCUAGCAAUAUUGCCAAAGAACGCUGUAGUUUGUGAAAGUAAUUUCACUUUGGAAACUUCUACCAUGUCGGGGCAGAGCUAAAGUAAACAAACGGAUUAGGGAGAAUAGGGGAGGGGGGUUUCCAUAGCAACUUCUGCAUACUACAGCACGUUCUGGAGAGAGCUGAAGAACAGGAAGAACUGAAAAGGUGUGACAACAGGAAACAUCACACUAGUUUUUUUAACUACCUUUGACUGAGUUUCUUCUGUUGAUUGGCAUCCUGCUUUGAUUGUACCAGAAAUUAAGGAUGUCAUACUCCAGCAUACCCAUUUUCUACAACUACCUGCAUUCCCUGGAACUUUGGAUUCAACAUCAUCUUCAGAACCUGAAAAAAAAGAGAUGGAGAAAUCAUUAAAAAUGAAUCUCUCUUAAGGAUGAAUUACUAAUUAUUCUCUCCUCAGAGUUGACAUUCCCUGACAUCCAUCUUCACCUGUUGAUUCCCCUGUGUAAAUAUUGUUUUGUAAAUAGUUUGAAUAACCCCAUAGAGAUUUUAUUCUUUGUUGGUUAUUUUUUCAGAUUCUAGUGUUUUAUUUGCUGUCCUUAAACUUGACAGAAUUGGUUAAUUAAAAAAAUAAAGAAUUGUUUUGGUUGAA
Long non-coding RNA from Austrofundulus limnaeus, 760 nucleotides. RefSeq lists it as uncharacterized. Lineage: Eukaryota; Metazoa; Chordata; Actinopteri; Cyprinodontiformes; Rivulidae. The transcript is spliced from 2 exons. The record is from RefSeq and is a predicted model, not a curated record.